RNAcentral lists this transfer RNA (72 nucleotides) under Pleodorina starrii. RNAcentral describes it as "tRNA-His". It matches the Rfam family "tRNA". From Rfam's summary of the family: Transfer RNA (tRNA) molecules are approximately 80 nucleotides in length. Their secondary structure includes four short double-helical elements and three loops (D, anti-codon, and T loops). Lineage: Eukaryota; Viridiplantae; Chlorophyta; Chlorophyceae; Chlamydomonadales; Volvocaceae. The record is from RNAcentral.
GUCCCAAUCGUAUAGUGGUUAAUACAUCACGUUGUGGCCGUGAAGACCCCGGCUCGAAUCCGGGAAGGGACA